RNAcentral lists this ribosomal RNA (388 nucleotides) under uncultured bacterium. RNAcentral's name for it is "bacterial SSU rRNA". It matches the Rfam family "Bacterial small subunit ribosomal RNA", at positions 29 to 417 of the family's 1533-position model. The record is from RNAcentral.
AUUGAACGCUGGCGGAAUGCUUUACACAUGCAAGUCGAGCGGCAGCGCGGGGGCAACCCUGGCGGCGAGCGGCGAACGGGUGAGUAAUACAUCGGAACGUGUCCUUGAGUGGGGGAUAGCUCGGCGAAAGCCGGAUUAAUACCGCAUAAGCUCUGAGGAGGAAAGCGGGGGACUGGCAACGGCCUCGCGCUGUUGGAGCGGCCGAUGUCGGAUUAGCUAGUUGGGGGGUAAAGGCCCACCAAGGCGACGAUCCGUAGCUGGUCUGAGAGGAUGAUCAGCCACACUGGAACUGAGACACGGUCCAGACUCCUACGGGAGGCAGCAGUGGGGAAUUUUGGACAAUGGGGGCAACCCUGAUCCAGCCAUUCCGCGUGAGUGAAGAAGGCCU